Molecule: ribosomal RNA, 822 nt
Filed under: uncultured bacterium
Lineage: Bacteria
Description: bacterial SSU rRNA
Rfam family: Bacterial small subunit ribosomal RNA
Source: RNAcentral
UUNUGAACUGGGUAGCUAGAGUAUNUCAGAGGGGGGUAGAAUUCCACGUGUAGCAGUGAAAUGCGUAGAGAUGUGGAGGAAUACCGAUGGCGAAGGCAGCCCCCUGGGAUAAUACUGACGUUCAUGCUCGAAAGCGUGGGUAGCAAACAGGAUUAGAUACCCUGGUAGUCCACGCCCUAAACGAUGUCGAUUAGCUGUUGGGCAACUUGAUUGCUUAGUAGCGUAGCUAACGCGUGAAAUCGACCGCCUGGGGAGUACGGUCGCAAGAUUAAAACUCAAAGGAAUUGACGGGGACCCGCACAAGCGGUGGAUGAUGUGGAUUAAUUCGAUGCAACGCGAAGAACCUUACCUGGUCUUGACAUGUACGGAAGAACUCAGAGACGAGUUUGUGCCUUCGGGAGCCGUAACACAGGUGCUGCAUGGCUGUCGUCAGCUCGUGUCGUGAGAUGUUGGGUUAAGUCCCGCAACGAGCGCAACCCUUGUCAUUAGUUGCCAUCAUUUAGUUGGGCACUCUAAUGAGACUGCCGGUGACAAACCGGAGGAAGGUGGGGAUGACGUCAAGUCCUCAUGGCCCUUAUGACCAGGGCUUCACACGUCAUACAAUGGUCGGUACAGAGGGUAGCCAAGCCGCGAGGUGGAGCCAAUCCCAGAAAACCGAUCGUAGUCCGGAUUGCACUCUGCAACUCGAGUGCAUGAAGUCGGAAUCGCUAGUAAUCGCAGGUCAGCAUACUGCGGUGAAUACGUUCCCGGGUCUUGUACACACCGCCCGUCACACCAUGGGAGUGGGGGAUACCAGAAGUAGGUAGGGUAACCGCAAGGAGC